Stegostoma tigrinum is the source of this 1776-nucleotide long non-coding RNA. RefSeq lists it as uncharacterized. Lineage: Eukaryota; Metazoa; Chordata; Chondrichthyes; Orectolobiformes; Stegostomatidae. The transcript has 3 exons. The record is from RefSeq and is a predicted model, not a curated record.
CACUGAUUUCAGUCGUAGAUUAAUCUGUAAAGAGCAAAAAUAGCUGGACUUUGGGUCCAAAUCUCUUCACUUUUAAAACUAAAAUCCAUUUUUACUGAGUAAGCCGUAGUGUGGGAGUGAGGGAGACUGCUCCGCAGUGAGGCAGAGGGGGAGUGAGUAGCUUGGGAAUUCAGGGAAGAGGGGAUUUAAAAAGUGCCUCAAUUAAGACUUAAUGGUAGAAAUAAAUUCUCCGAAUGAGAAGUGAGCUGGCGAGGGAGUAAGGUGUUGUCCGGUAAGCCUACGCGUACUGACAGCAAUGGCAGCGUGACAUCAUGAGUGCAGCGAAAGGCAGGUGAUUUGUGGAAACUAGGCAGUGACAAUUUCUGAUGUGAAAAUUACAUCUGUCUCCUGGUUACUCCGGCUCACCACUUGAUCCUCUGAUCCUGCAAAUGGCAAGAUGACUCUUGAUAUUCGUUUAUUUUAAUAUUCUGGAUCUCUCCACAACAGGCUUUAGAAGUUCCCAAGUCACCCACCAAGAAUGAUCCCAUUGGGUUCUACAGGAGGCUGCCAGACUAGACGCACAGAUGUAGUUCGAACUUCUGGAAACAGGAUUCCUACAGGAGGUCCAGGCACUGAAAAAACAGAGAAUGAAAACAAGCUACUUAUGCAGCUUAAUCUUUACACAUGAAAUAAUUCUGGAGCUUUCACUGUUGAACUGUGUCCCAUUUGUACAUGAUGCUGUCCUUGAAUUUCGUUUUUGAGUUACCGCCUUGAUGAGCUUUUUUCUCGUUCUAUUUUCCUCCCUUUCUUACCUUCCUCUCUUGAACACACUGACUCCUGGCCAAAUGAGAUUCCAUUUGGCACCAGACAUGUCUGAUACUUUAACCAUUAUCACACCAACAUGUGUUAAUUGACAAUAAAGGAUGAAGGUGAAUGGUAUCACUAGUCCAGUCCAAUUCUGUAACAAUAGGAGGAUUCAGUGGAACAUGAUUAAGAAUUGAAACCCGAACUUAAAAACCCAUCUUGUCCAGAGGCAGUGAGACACACUCUAGUCCCUGACUGCUGUCCAGAUUAAAAUCACUGAACCUGGAACAGAUCGUGAUUAAAUCUGGAUGUUCUGUGCUUGUAGUACACCUACCCACUGGAUGUAUUAGCUGCCUUAUUUGUGUACUAUAUGCAAAUAUAAGACAGUAAAGAUAAGUCUGGCCAAUGAAACACAAUGAAAACUUGAGCUUAAACUUUCAUUUCAGAUGUUAAAAUCAAUAUCACUGUCAACAUCAACAUCAUCAACCCAUUUCAGGCAUGGUUCUCAACACGCAAAUUAAGAGGAAAUGUGGCUUUGUAUGACUUUAACAUAUCCAAAAGUGAAAUUAAUAUUUCUUUGAACAACACGUUUAACUGAAAGGUCACAAUUUAAUGUAAUGCGAAAAAAGCACUUAGGACUGCAAUGAAAGGAUUAAACAACUUUCAAGUAACUUUUUUUUAUAUCUCUCCAUUUUAAGAGAAAAUUGGUUCUGGAUCCAGAUAUCAUUGUGACAUUAUCUUUAAUUGCUAGAUCUCCAGUUAGUUGUAAUUUAAUGUAAUUAUAAUUGCUCCACCAAGUGCUUUUAUUGACUUUAAAAUCAAUGUUGGCUCUUUUUUAGAUGACUUUCACAGGAAGUUUCUCAACAGACAGCAGAUGAGCAAUUGCUUUCAAUUCAUCAAAUUUGUAAAGUAACAUUAAUAUGAACCUUGCUGACAACUUAUGCUGUCAUCAUUUGUGCACCAGCUGUGAAUACCCAUGGCCUGGUAAACAAA